UAGUAUGAACUGGAGAUAAGAAAAUAAAAAGUGGUCACUAGGAUGCAAAAGAAAAAAUUCCCUGCGCUUUCUGUCUGUCUUUGUGGCGGCUCAGAUGGAAUUAGGGAAUACAUUU
This is a small nucleolar RNA of Nycticebus coucang (slow loris), 115 nucleotides long. RefSeq annotates it as small nucleolar RNA SNORA31. The transcript has a single exon. NCBI's taxonomy places the organism in Eukaryota, Metazoa, Chordata, Mammalia, Primates, Lorisidae. The record is from RefSeq and is a predicted model, not a curated record.